RNAcentral lists this long non-coding RNA (200 nucleotides) under Homo sapiens (human). RNAcentral's name for it is "HSALNT0053820". Lineage: Eukaryota; Metazoa; Chordata; Mammalia; Primates; Hominidae. The record is from RNAcentral.
GAUUUCCUUAGACUCCACAAUUUCCGCAAUGAUGAAACCUCUGAUAACUGGCUCAUCAUCUAAUAUAGCCAGGCUGUUGAUGUAGGUCUUGGAGUCCAAGGUCUUAUUGAGGUCACACAGUUUUGCCAUCUUCUUGCCAGUGUACAACUGUAGUUCAAAGGAGCCCAAGAUGUUGACAUUCUGUAGGGCAGCGGUCUUCC